AUUGAACGCUGGCGGCAGGCCUAACACAUGCAAGUCGAGCGGAGCGGCGGACGGGUGAGUAAUGCCUAGGAAUCUGCCUGGUAGUGAGGGAUAACGUCAGGAAACGGACGCGAAUACCGCAUACUAUCAGAUGAGCCUGGGGCGGAUUAGGUAGUUGGUGGGGUAAGGGCCUACCAAGGCGACGAUCCCUAGCUGGUCUGAGAGGAUGACCAGCCACACUGGAACUGAGACACGGUCCAGACUCCUACGGGAGGCAGCAGUGGGGAAUAUUGCACAAUGGGCGCAAGCCUGAUGCAGCCAUGCCGCGUGUAUGAAGAAGGCCUUCGGGUUGUAAAGUACUGUCAGCGGGGAGGCGUUACCCGCAGAAGAAGCACCGGCUAACUCCGUGCCAGCAGCCGCGGUAAUUC
Molecule: ribosomal RNA, 407 nt
Filed under: uncultured bacterium
Lineage: Bacteria
Description: partial 16S ribosomal RNA
Rfam family: Bacterial small subunit ribosomal RNA
Source: RNAcentral